GCCCAACAACUAGCCUAUUCAGUAACCUCAACACAUGAAUAACACUACCCCCCUUCAAUCUAAAUAAUAACACAACUAAACCAUUUUUCCCCUCUAGUACCGGGUGACAGAACAAGAAAUAAGCGCGAUAGAAAAAGUACCGCAAGGGAACGUUGAAAUAGAAAUGAAAUAACCCAGCAAAGCACAAAAAAGCAGAGCUUAGCCCUCGUACCUUUUGCAUCAUGUUUUAGCCAGAGCCCCUCAAGCAAAAAGCAUUUUAGUUUGACAGCCCGAAACUAAGUGAGCUACUCCAAGACAGCCUAACAAAUAGGGCCAACCCGUCUCUGUGGCAAAAGAGUGGGAAGAGCUUCGAGUAGAGGUGAUAAACCUACCGAACUAAGUUAUAGCUGGUUGCCUAAAAAUUGAAUAAAAGUUCAGCCUCUUGAAUUCUUCCUUCUCCAAUGAACACCCCUAAUUUGAGAUACAAAAGAAGCCCAGAGAGUUAGUCGAAGGGGGUACAGCCCCUCCGAACCAAGAUACAACUUUACCAAGGCGGAUAAGGAUCACAAUAACUAAGG
Molecule: ribosomal RNA, 557 nt
Filed under: Cairnsichthys rhombosomoides (Cairns rainbowfish)
Lineage: Eukaryota; Metazoa; Chordata; Actinopteri; Atheriniformes; Melanotaeniidae
Description: partial 16S ribosomal RNA
Rfam family: Bacterial large subunit ribosomal RNA (bases 188-557)
Source: RNAcentral